This 559-nucleotide long non-coding RNA is filed under the name Homo sapiens (human). RNAcentral describes it as "non-protein coding lnc-APBA2-5:7". The record is from RNAcentral. Lineage: Eukaryota; Metazoa; Chordata; Mammalia; Primates; Hominidae.
GCGAGAGGCAUCAGGAUCCCUGGCGGCGCCUGAGCCAGCGGCUGCUAGGAGGCUGUGUCCGCAAGCCAGCGGGGCGAGGCGCCUGGGCCCUGCGCGUCAGGUCCCGGCCUGGGGCACCGGGGCUGCCAGCGUCGGAGGAGGCCUGAGACCUGGGAGGAAGCUGGAGAAAAGAUGCCCUCUGAAUCUUUGUGUUUGGCUGCCCAGGCUCGCCUUGACACCGAAUGGUUGAAAACAGAUAUACAGAUGGUAGUGUCGAACCAAGUGGAACAAAGAAAGAAGAUCUGAAUGACAAAGAGAAAAAAAAUGAAGACGAAACUCCUGCACCUGUAUAUAGGGCCAAGUCAAUUCUGGAGACCUGGGUGUGGGUCAAGCAACCAGGAAACGGAAGCCCAAAGAGGAGGGGAGCUUACAGCAGGCCCUGGACUAGGGAUUAACACAAAAACAACAGCAACAAAUCUGAUUUAAGCUUCACACAUAUACUCGGGAGACUGAGGCAGGAGAAUCGCUUGAACCUGGGAUGCAGAGGUUGCAGUGAGCCGAGAUCGCACCAUUGCACUCC